RNAcentral lists this non-coding RNA (954 nucleotides) under Eospalax fontanierii cansus. RNAcentral's name for it is "12S ribosomal RNA". It matches the Rfam family "Bacterial small subunit ribosomal RNA". Lineage: Eukaryota; Metazoa; Chordata; Mammalia; Rodentia; Spalacidae. The record is from RNAcentral.
CAAAGGUUUGGUCCCGGCCUUAUUAUUAGUUGUAGGUAAACUUAACCAUGCCAGAAUCCCCGCACCAGUGAAAAAAUCCCUAAAAAUCUUAAUUGAUUUGAAGGAGAGGGUAUCAAGCACACUUAUUGUAGCUAAAGACGCCUUGCCUAGCCACGCCCCCACGGGAAACAGCAGUGAUAAAAAUUAAGCCAUGAACGAAAGUUUGACUUAGUUAUACCUUUUAGGGUUGGUAAAUUUCGUGCCAGCCACCGCGGUCAUACGAUUGACCCAAACUAAUAAUCACAUCGGCGUAAAGCGUACAACAAGAAAAAAAUUAUAAAAUAGAAUUAAAAGUUUUCUUAUAUGUAAAAAUUCAUUGAAUUUACUAAAACCAAUAACGAAAGUAAUUCUAAUACACUUGAUGUACGACAGCUAAGAUCCAAACUGGGAUUAGAUACCCCACUAUGCUUAGCCGUAAACUUAAGUAAUUUCCAACAAAAUUACCCGCCAGAGAACUACUAGCCACCGCUUAAAACUCAAAGGACUUGGCGGUACUUUAUACCUGUCUAGAGGAGCCUGUUCUAUAAUCGAUGAUCCCCGCUAUACCUUACCACCCCUUGCUAAUUCAGCCUAUAUACCGCCAUCUUCAGCGAACCCUGUCAAGGUCCAAUAGUGAGCACAAUGAUAAUCGUAAAUACGUUAGGUCAAGGUGUAGCCUAUGAGGUGGAAAGCAAUGGGCUACAUUUUCUAGUAUAGAAAAUUACGGAUCCUCUUAUGAAACUAAGAGGUGAAGGAGGAUUUAGUAGUAAAUUAAGAAUAGAGAGCUUAAUUGAACUAAGCAAUGAAGUAUGCACACACCGCCCGUCGCUCUCCUCAAGUACAUAAAUUUGGACACAUUCAUAAUAACCCAACAAAAAUAUUAGAGGAGAUAAGUCGUAACAAGGUAAGCAUACUGGAAAGUGUGCUUGGAAAAAU